Molecule: ribosomal RNA, 541 nt
Filed under: Porina lucida
Lineage: Eukaryota; Fungi; Ascomycota; Lecanoromycetes; Ostropales; Porinaceae
Description: SSU rRNA
Rfam family: Bacterial small subunit ribosomal RNA
Source: RNAcentral
AUCUAUUAGUCUUGACCAAAUCAUGUGCCAGCCGUCGCGGUAAGACAUGGAAGACGAGCGCUAUUCAUCUUUAACAGGUUUAAAGGGUACUUAGACAGUUAAUUAAGCCUACAUAAGGGACUGACUAACUAGAGUUUAAUAGGAAAAGGAUAGAACGGCAUGUGGAGAGAUAAAAUAUUUUGAUACUUGCUAAAAUCUGACAACGGCGAAGGCAACCUUUUAUGUAAAAACUGACGUUAAAGGACGAAGGCUAUAAAUAAAGAAUAGGAUUAGAUACCCUAGUAUUCGUAGCAGUAAAUGAUGAGUGUCAUAGGUAAGUAAUAGCUUACGUAUAAAUGAAAGUGUAAACAUUCCACCUUAAGAGUAAAAUGGCAACAUAGGAACUGAAAUCAUUAGACCGUUUCUGAAACCAGUAGUGAAGUAUGUUAGUUAAAUUGAUGAUCCACAAAGAACCUUACCACAAUUUGAAUGUAAAUUCACAGGAGUUGCACGGCUGUCUUCAGUUGAUAUCGUGAGAUUUUGGUUAGCUCCAUUUAAUCAA